CAGCCAUCCUUGAAAGAGUGCGUAAUAGCUCACUGGUCAAGUGAUUCCGCGCCGAUAAUGUAGCGGGGCUUAAGUUAUCCGCCGAAGCUGUGGCAACCUGUGUGGUUGGGUAGGGGAGCGUCGUGUCAGUGGUGAAGCUGCCGGGUGACUGUGUGGUGGAGUUGAUGCGAGUGAGAAUGCAGGCAUGAGUAGCGUGUGACGGGUGGGAAUCCCGUCCGCCGAUUAUCCAAGGGUUCCAGGGUCAAGUUUGUCUGCCCUGGGUGAGUCGGGUCCUAAGGCGAGGCCGACAGGCGUAGUCGAUGGGUAACCAGUUGAUAUUCUGGUACCGGCUUGUCACCGUCCGUGUCGAGGUGUGUGAUGCUAAGCAUGUGAGCUUGUCUUGGGAGUGUUUUUGAUGCUUCUGGGGUGGGUGAGUGUGUGAACCGAUCAUGUAGUAGGCAAGCUGCGGAGGGACGCAGUGAGGUAGCUCAUCCCCGGUGAUGGUUGUCCGGGGCUAAGUGUGUGGACUGUCUGGUAGGUAAAUCCGCUGGGCGUGAAGGUUGAGGCAUGAUGGGGAGCCCAUGGUUGUGGGUGAGUGAGUGAUCCUGUACUGUCGAGAAAAGCUUCGUGAGCGAGGUGGCGGGUCCGCCCGUACCCUAAACCGACACUGGUGGAUAGGUAGAGUAUACCGAGGCGAUCGAGUGAAUCGUGGUGAAGGAACUCGGCAAAAUGCCCCCGUAACUUUGGGAUAAGGGGGACCUGAGCUGUCGUGCACCCGUGCGGUGUGGUGGCGGUGAGGGGCGCAGAGUCCAGGGGGAAACGACUGUUUACCAAAAACACAGGUCCGUGCGAAGUCGUAAGACGAUGUAUACGGACUGACUCCUGCCCGGUGCUGGAAGGUUAAGGGGAACUGUGAGUGUAUGCGUAGCGGUGAACUUAAGCCCCAGUAAACGGCGGUGGUAACUAUAACCAUCCUAAGGUAGCGAAAUUCCUUGUCGGGUAAGUUCCGACCUGCACGAAUGGAGUAACGAUUUCCCUACUGUCUCCACCAUGAACUCGGUGAAAUUGCAUUACGAGUAAAGAUGCUCGUUACGCGCAGCAGGACGGAAAGACCCCGGGACCUUUACUAUAGUUUGGUAUUGGUGAUUGGGACGGUUUGUGUAGGAUAGGUGGGAGACGUUGAUGCGGCCACGCUAGUGGUGGUGGAGUCGUUGGUGAAAUACCACUCUGAUUGUUCUGGUUAUCUCACUGUGGACCGUGAUCCGGUUCAAGGACAGUGCCUGAUGGGUAGUUUGACUGGGGCGGUCGCCUCCUAAAGGGUAACGGAGGCGCCCAAAGGUUCCCUCAGCCUGGUUGGUAAUCAGGUGGUGAGUGUAAGUGCACAAGGGGGCUUGACUGUGAGACUGACAGGUCGAGCAGGGACGAAAGUCGGGACUAGUGAUCUGACGGUGGCUUGUGGAUGCGCCGUCACUCAACGGAUAAAAGGUACCCCGGGGAUAACAGGCUGAUCUUGCCCGA
Molecule: ribosomal RNA, 1497 nt
Filed under: metagenome
Description: bacterial LSU rRNA
Rfam family: Bacterial large subunit ribosomal RNA
Source: RNAcentral